This 783-nucleotide ribosomal RNA is filed under the name uncultured bacterium. RNAcentral's name for it is "bacterial SSU rRNA". It matches the Rfam family "Bacterial small subunit ribosomal RNA", at positions 36 to 784 of the family's 1533-position model. The record is from RNAcentral.
CUGGCGGCAUGCCUAANNAUGUAAGUCGAACGGACUUUCACUCCUGCGGCGGACUUCGGUCCAAAGCUUUGUGAAAUUUAGUGGCGAACGGGUGAGUAACAGGUAGACAACUUGCCUCAACGACUGGGAUAACAUCGGGAAACUGGUGCUAAUACCGGAUAGGAUUGUUCCUCGCAUGGGGAGUUCUUUAAAGGUGGGUUAAACCAUCACGUUGAGAGAGGUCUGCUUCGUAUUAGCUAGUUGGUGAGGUAAUGGCUCACCAAGGCAAUGAUGCGUAGCCGAGCUGAGAGGCUGAUCGGCCACACUGGAACUGAGACACGGUCCAGACUCCUACGGGAGGCAGCAGUUAGGGAUAUUCGGCAAUGGGCGCAAGCCUGACCGAGCAAUGCCGCGUGAAUGAAGAAGUAUUUCGAUAUGUAAAGUUCUGUUGUAAGGGAAGAAUGAUAGUGAUAGGAAAUGAUCAUUAUUUGACGGUACCUUACCAGAAAGCCCCGGCUAACUACGUGCCAGCAGCCGCGGUAAUACGUAGGGGGCGAGCGUUAUCCGGAUUUAUUGGGCGUAAAGGGUGCGUAGGUGGCCUUACAAGUCUGAGUUGAAAGCCCACGGCUUAACCGUGGAGGGUGCUCGGAAACUGUAAGGCUUGAAUCCAGAAGUGGCAAGUGGAAUUCUAUGUGGAGCGGUGGAAUGCGUAGAUAUAUGGAGGAACACCAGUGGCGAAGGCGGCUUGCUGGUCUGGGAUUGACACUGAGGCACGAAAGCGUGGGGAGCAAACAGGAUUAGAUA